AAUAUCUAUCCGCACAAACUAAUUACAACACAUGAUAAAUUAUAUCAUAUAAAUUAUAUAAUACAAAAGAUAAACUAUAAAAUAGAAAUUAUACAACAUCUCAAUAUCUAUCCCCACAAACUAAUUACAACACAUGAUAAAUUAUAUCAUAUAAAUUAUAUAAUACAAAAGAUAAACUAUAAAAUAGAAAUUAUAAAACAUCUCAAUAUCUAUCCCCACAAACUAAUUACAACACAUGAUAAAUUAUAUCAUAUAAAUUAUAUAAUACAAAAGAUAAAUUAUAAAAUACAAAUUAUACAUCUCAUUUCAAUAUCUAUCCCCACUAACUAAUUACAACACAUGAUAAAUUAUAUCAUAUAAAUUAUAUAAUACAAAAGAUAAACUAUAAAAUAGAAAUUAUACAUCUCAUCUCAAUAUCUAUCCCCACAAACUAAUUACAACACAUGAUAAAUUAUAUCAUAUAAAUUAUAUAAUACAAAAGAUAAACUAUAAAAUAGAAAUUAUACAUCUCAUCUCAAUAUCUAUCCCCACAAACUAAUUACAACACAUGAUAAAUUAUAUCAUAUAAAUUAUAUAAUACAAAAGAUAAAUUAUAAAAUAGAAAUUAUACAUCUCAUCUCAAUAUCUAUCCCUACUAACUAAUUACAACACAUGAUAAAUUAUAUCAUAUAAAUUAUAUAAUACAAAAGAUAAAUUAUAAAAUAGAAAUUAUACAUCUCAUCUCAAUAUCUAUCCC
RNAcentral lists this long non-coding RNA (736 nucleotides) under Sorghum bicolor (sorghum). RNAcentral's name for it is "long non-coding RNA (SBIC_LNC016397)". The record is from RNAcentral. Lineage: Eukaryota; Viridiplantae; Streptophyta; Magnoliopsida; Poales; Poaceae.